This 405-nucleotide ribosomal RNA is filed under the name Hyalomma aegyptium. RNAcentral describes it as "partial large subunit ribosomal RNA". Lineage: Eukaryota; Metazoa; Arthropoda; Arachnida; Ixodida; Ixodidae. The record is from RNAcentral.
AGUAUUUUGACUAUACAAAGGUAUUGUAAUAAGAUUUUAAUUGAAUGCUAAAAGAAUGGAAGUUUAGAAAAAGUCUUUUUAAAAAAUAAAAAUUAAAAUUUUUUUAAUUUGUGCAGAAACAAUUAUUUAUAUUAAAGACAAGAAGACCCUAAGAAUUUUCUGGCUCAAUAAUUUAUAUAUUUAAUUUAUUAAACCUUGGUUGGGGCGAUCAAAAAAUAUUAAUAACUUUUUUUCAUUAAAAUGAUCUAUUAUUAAUAAAUUAAUGAAUUAAAUACUCUAGGGAUAACAGCGUAAUAAUUUUUGAUAGAUCUUAUAGACAAAAUAGUUUGCGACCUCGAUGUUGGAUUAGGAUUCUUUUUUGGUGAAGAAACCAAAAAAAGAAGUUUGUUCAACUUUUAAACUCCU